UCCACAGUAGCUCAGUGGUAGAGCUAUCGGCUGUUAACCGAUCGGUCGUAGGUUCGAGUCCUAUCUGUGGAGCCA
RNAcentral lists this transfer RNA (75 nucleotides) under Staphylococcus aureus. Its description in RNAcentral is "tRNA-Asn". It matches the Rfam family "tRNA". Rfam says of the family: Transfer RNA (tRNA) molecules are approximately 80 nucleotides in length. Their secondary structure includes four short double-helical elements and three loops (D, anti-codon, and T loops). Further hydrogen bonds mediate the characteristic L-shaped molecular structure. tRNAs have two regions of fundamental functional importance: the anti-codon, which is responsible for specific mRNA codon recognition, and the 3' end, to which the tRNAs corresponding amino acid is attached (by aminoacyl-tRNA synthetases). tRNAs cope with the degeneracy of the genetic code in two manners: having more than one tRNA (with a specific anti-codon) for a particular amino acid; and 'wobble' base-pairing, i.e. permitting non-standard base-pairing at the 3rd anti-codon position. The record is from RNAcentral. Lineage: Bacteria; Bacillati; Bacillota; Bacilli; Caryophanales; Staphylococcaceae.